AUGAUUCAAAAUGAAUGGCGUCAAAGAUACAACAUAUGCUCAUGUACAUCCAGCCACAUCGUCGACCACUAUUUAUUCACCUUGCAACUAAUGUUCAUAUCAACAAAAUGGUUCAUAUUUUCAGUUUCAGAUGAAGGAUAUGGAAGAGAAAAUGAUGCAUGUAACAAGCCUUUAGACGUUUCCGAAAACACAAAACUAUAUGCAAGGUUUUUGAGUCGCCGACUAAUCGCCAAGUUGUUGGAGCGAGGUUGGCUUGCGCAGGCGACUUGGCUUGAGGAGCGAGUCGCGCGACUGGUAGGCUAG
RNAcentral lists this ribosomal RNA (303 nucleotides) under Triticum aestivum (bread wheat). RNAcentral's name for it is "partial small subunit ribosomal RNA". Lineage: Eukaryota; Viridiplantae; Streptophyta; Magnoliopsida; Poales; Poaceae. The record is from RNAcentral.